CCCAUUCAAAGCAUAGCACCCUUCGGCUUCAGAGAAGCUCCAGCCCUGUUGUCACCAAGCAGGUUCCCCCUAGGCAGAGCGCCAAGAAGCAGCCCAGGCGAUCCCAAGGCGCACAAGUGCUCUCACCAGGCUGCGCGCUGGCGGGUCGGUGCACAGGGACGGGGUCGCCGCCCACGCGCGCUUGGUUCAGGGAGCCCAGGCUGUCCCUACCCGCGGCUACAAAAGCUCGCCGAGUCUUCCUGUCCACCCAAUCGCCCCACAUGUCAGCGGUUGGUCGCCUCGCGGUGCAGUGCUGGGCACGCGAGCCCCUCCCGCAGUCAUUCUCAGCACAAGCACCAGCCUGGAGCCCCGCAGCGACAGAGCUGAGAGCCCCCAAGCCGCAGAGGUCGUGCGGAGCAGAAGAGGAGACCAAUGGGGAGCAUUGGAAUGAUUUGGUUGCAAGCAUACUACACUACUUGUAAACUGCAGACACAGGCUUAAAAAAAGUGAAAAACUAACCAUGCAAUAAAGAAUGGAAUGAACCAUGAAGCUGUUUCUGUGGCCAGUCAUGUUUUUGAAGCAUAUCCCAUGCUAAUUUCUAGAACAGAAGAAACACACGUGUUCUUGUGUGUAAACCCAGUCCAUGGAAGAGACCGUCUGCUUGUCCCUCCUGAUCUCUGGGCCCAGACAACCAGUAGUCACCAUUCCAAGUGAGGGGUGGCUGCAACUCUACAGCCCCGUUCGUCUCUCCUCACUGUCAAAGCUGCUGAGACCCCAGACUCGACACUUGAAAGAAACCCAUGUCUGUGAAGCACUUGUGGACCAUUCAAGAUUGUGGAAGAAUCACUCAAGAGAAGGAGAUAGCAAUAUUUGCAGAUAUGCAAACUGGCCCCUUGCAUGCACAUCCUGGAGCACGUCCUGGAGCCUUUAGAGGAGACGGCUGCUGCUGUUCCAGUCUCUCCUUAGGCAGACUUGAGUUUCUACCCACUCUUCCCAAGCAGCCGCCCCUCCGCACCCGAGCGAGCCAAAGACCUGGCGGGCUGAGUACUCACUGCGCGCUGGACACAUGCUGAGCCGGCACUGCAGGGACACAGGGCGAGCCGCUGGAUGCAGACCUGUGGCCGCGGCAGUUGGGCUUAUCUUGCCCAUGAAGUUGCCUCUGAAGAACCAAGUCCAACUGUGUAUGCUGAGAGAUGUCUGGCUACUUCCUGAUUGACAGUUCUGGCAAGGUGGCAUUGGGCCCUGGCUUUUCCUCUGGAGGCAUCAUCACUUAUAGGAAAAUGUCCCCUGAAGUCCAAGGAUCAAAGCUGCUGGAACACUGAGAAGCUGAACAAAGGAGAACUGUUUCUCAUCAAACCCAGACUUCCAGACUUCCAAUAGGGUAGAAUGAGCAAGUCAGCAAAUCAUCUUCCUUGGAAACAGUGAUAAAACUAGAUGACAUUGUCAACAACAGCCAUUUCAGAAAUCUAGAAAAUGACCAAAGGCAAACAACAAACUGAGAAGCAUUUUUUUUUCCAUGAAAAAUCGCUCUAUUUCUGCAAAAAUAGUGGGAGUCUAUGGCUUCUCAUCCAGGGCUGUUUCUCUCCCCACCCCAGCUCAGUCAGUACAAAGGUUCUGGCAGCAUGAGGCAGACUGAACAGACCUGAAGUUUGAUUGCUGGAAGAAACUGACUCCAGGUUUGGCAGAGGGUGAGAAACCUACUCCCAGCCAUGUUGUCUGGUGACACAGUGACCUUAGGGACAAGUGAAUAGGGAAGGCCAGUGAUUCAUUAACCUGAGGUUGCAGUCCUGGUUGGGGAAAGCAUCAGAAUGGCAGAUAAGCUAGAAAUUUAGUAGGGAUAUGCUGGAAAUGAGACAACCCCAAAGGGGCUUGACCCCAAAGUUGUCCACACACCCCAGCUGCCUUCUGAGCAGAUGUAGGGAGAGACCAGAGAAGGCCUAGGCUAUCCACACAUCUCUGGCUAACCCAGGCUGUAAACCUGUGGAGGAGACACAAGAGGUGGAUUGAUUGCUAAUGGGCAUAUGGGGGAUCUUACUGGUUGAUAGGAACAUUCUCAAAUUGGAUUGUGGUGAUGCUUGCACAACUCUAAGUUUAUCCCAAAUUGCUAAAUUUUACACUAAAAAGGGGUGAACUUUAGGGUAUAUAAAUUAUACAUCAAUAAAGUUGUCAUAAAGCAUUCACAUUCUAAUAAAUGGCUCUAAGAAAUAUUGUUUUGAAAAUUUUCCUUUGGUAUAUUAUGGCACUCCAAAAUCAACUUCUGUCAGAACAAUAAUUAACUAUUUCUGAUUAUAGAUAUUGGUCAUCUACAAUGAUUUAUUCAGUCUUUUAUGUCCCGCAUAAGGGCUUAGAAUGCUUUAAAUUUCUAAGACCAUCAAUAGCCAG
RNAcentral lists this long non-coding RNA (2361 nucleotides) under Homo sapiens (human). RNAcentral's name for it is "HSALNT0315762". Lineage: Eukaryota; Metazoa; Chordata; Mammalia; Primates; Hominidae. The record is from RNAcentral.